GUUGCUCACUCUCCCUCAAGGGCUUCUAGCAAUGUCAGAAAUGAUGAACUCGAAGCCUUUGGAGAGAGUAAACAA
Molecule: microRNA precursor, 75 nt
Filed under: Prunus dulcis (almond)
Lineage: Eukaryota; Viridiplantae; Streptophyta; Magnoliopsida; Rosales; Rosaceae
Description: sRNA ncRNA
Rfam family: MIR473 microRNA precursor family
Source: RNAcentral